CGGGAAACUGGGGAUAAUACCCCAUAGACUAUGGAUGCUGGAAUGCUUUGUAGUCGAAAGGUCCGCCGCCGUAGGAUGGGUCUGCGGCCGAUUAGGUUGUUGUUGGGGUAACGGCCCAACAAGCCUGUAAUCGGUACGGGUUGUGGGAGCAAGAGCCCGGAGAUGGAUUCUGAGACACGAAUCCAGGCUCUACGGGGCGCAGCAGGCGCGAAAACGUUACAAUGCGGGAAACCGUGAUAAGGGAACUCCGAGUGCCCGUUAGAUCGGGCUGUCCAACUGUUUAAAUAACAGGUGAAGAAAGGGCCGGGCAAGACCGGUGCCGGCCGCGCGGUAACA
This 336-nucleotide ribosomal RNA is filed under the name uncultured archaeon. RNAcentral's name for it is "partial 16S ribosomal RNA". It matches the Rfam family "Archaeal small subunit ribosomal RNA", at positions 133 to 475 of the family's 1478-position model. The record is from RNAcentral.